Molecule: ribosomal RNA, 505 nt
Filed under: uncultured bacterium
Lineage: Bacteria
Description: partial 16S ribosomal RNA
Rfam family: Bacterial small subunit ribosomal RNA
Source: RNAcentral
GACGAACGCUGGCGGCGUGCCUAAUACAUGCAAGUAGAACGCACAGUUUAUACCUUAGCUUGCUCCACCAUAAACUGUGAGUUGCGAACGGGUGAGUAACGCGUAGGUAACCUGCCUGGUAGCGGGGGAUAACUAUUGUAAACGAUAGCUAAUACCGCAUAAUAUUUAUUAUUGCAUGAUAAUUGAUUGAAAUAUUCUAUUGCAUCACUACCAGAUGGACCUGCGUUGUAUUAGCUAGUAGGUGAGGUAACGGCUCACCUAGGCGACGAUACAUAGCCGACCUGAGAGGGUGAUCGGCCAAACUGGGACUGAGACAAGGCACAGAAUCCUACGGGAGGCAGCAGUAGGGAAUCUUCGGCAAUGGACGAAAGUCGGACCGAGCAACGCCGCGUGAGUGAAGAAGGUUGUCGGAUCGUAAAGCUCUGUUGUAAGAGAAGAAAGGGUGUGAGAGUGGAAAGUUCACACUGUGACGGUAACUAACCAGAAAGGGACGGCUAACUACGUG